Molecule: long non-coding RNA, 1236 nt
Organism: Pseudopipra pipra
Lineage: Eukaryota; Metazoa; Chordata; Aves; Passeriformes; Pipridae
Exons: 3
Source: RefSeq, a predicted model, not a curated record
CGCCAUUUUGGCUUCCGGGACUCCGUGAUGGCGGUGGGGUCUGUUUGUCGUUGAUUUGUCCUUCCCAAAGCUUGGCCAGAUGGAGGAGGCUGCGAGGAAGAGGAAGAUGCCUUGGGCCCCCCAGGCAGGAAAUACAAACCAAUUCUUUGAGGCUCUGCUCUGUAGAUGAGUCAGCACCGAGUUAAUGAGUCAGCACCAAGAACCCCCCAGAGACAACUCUGCAAUGCAGCACAGAAUCAGCAGCCACCACAACCUUCAUCUCUCUUGGUAUGACUUGGGAAUCCAGUCCUUUUCUGUUCUUUGCAGGUGAUGAUUGAACCUCACCUUCCUGCUCCCAUCUGAGCAGCAGCCUGUCUUCCUCUGCUCUUUGAUCAAACAAAACUUCUGUCCAAGUGAAUGGCCAUGAAAAGGGAAUGCAAAAGGGACACACCUACACCAGCUAGAAAUGGAAAAGCUUUCUUGACAAAAAAAACCCCCACCAACCAACCAAAACAAAACCACAGAACAAAACACUCACAGUGUUUAGGGUGUAUUUGCUCAAUUCUCUCAUUUCCAAUUGUUAUGAAGAGAACAGCCAGAGGGGUUUAGAGCCUCAGUCACUGUAAAUCAGCACAUUGGAACUGACUUUCUUACAACUAAAGAACUUUGUGGGUUCUGGCUCAAUAUAUUGCCAAUGGUUUCUAUUACUAUUAUUAAACAAAUUCUCUAAGUCUAUCCAGUAACUGCUCCUUGUCAGCACUUUCAGCUUCUAUUCUAAAAUGAAGCCAGGUAACACCUGAAAAGCGAAUUUAGUAAAGCAGUGUAAGGAUUAGAGAGAGUUAAGCACAAAUGCAGGCUUUCAACAAGGCACAGAGAACUCAGUAUUAGGAAAAAGCUGAAGCAAUAAAUUCACUAUACCAGGACACUGACACAAAGAGAACAUAAACAUAAACAGAAAAUGCCAGCACACACAAAAAUGGACAUAUGGAGGGAAAACAAAGAGAGAUAAGAAGAGGGACAAGCCAAGAAAUUAAGCACUCUUGCCAGAUACUGAAAAUCCCUGCCAAAUGCACAAGGAAACUACCCAAAUUAGGGAAGGUUCAAAAGUUUAGGAGGAUGAUGAUGAAAAGGACAAUCGGUUCAUGAUGAAGAAAGACCAGAACUACCACCGAAGUUCUCCCCAAAUUGAAGACCACGCCUCUAACUCCGCCUCAACUCCGCCUGUUAUGAAUAUUAAAAGUAGAUGUUGCAAUGUAA